RNAcentral lists this ribosomal RNA (406 nucleotides) under uncultured bacterium. Its description in RNAcentral is "bacterial SSU rRNA". It matches the Rfam family "Bacterial small subunit ribosomal RNA", at positions 355 to 776 of the family's 1533-position model. The record is from RNAcentral.
UGGGGAAUAUUGGGCAAUGGACGCAAGUCUGACCCAGCAACGCCGCGUGAAGGAAGAAGGCUUUCGGGUUGUAAACUUCUUUUAAGGGGGAAGAGCAGAAGACGGUACCCCUUGAAUAAGCCACGGCUAACUACGUGCCAGCAGCCGCGGUAAUACGUAGGUGGCAAGCGUUGUCCGGAUUUACUGGGUGUAAAGGGCGUGCAGCCGGGCCCUUAAGUCAGAUGUGAAAUUCCAGGGCUUAACUCUGGAACUGCAUUUGAAACUGAGAGUCUUGAGUACCGGAGAGGUUAUCGGAAUUCCUUGUGUAGCGGUGAAAUGCGUAGAUAUAAGGAAGAACACCAGUGGCGAAGGCGGAUAACUGGACGGCAACUGACGGUGAGGCGCGAAAGCGUGGGGAGCAAACAGG